AGUGAACGCUGGCGGUAGGCCUAACACAUGCAAGUCGAACGGCAGCACAGUAAGAUCUUGCUCUUACGGGUGGCGAGUGGCGGACGGGUGAGGAAUACAUCGUAAUCUACUUUUUCGUGGGGGAUAACGUAGGGAAACUUACGCUAAUACCGCAUACGACCUACGGUUGAAAGCAGUGGAUCUUCUGACCUUGCGCGAUUGAAUUAGCCGAUGUCGGAUUAGCUAGUUGGCGGGGUAAAGGCCCACCAAGGCGGCGAUCCGUAGCUGGUCUGAGAGGAUGGUCAGCCACACUGGAACUGAGACACGGUCCAGACUCCUACGGGAGGCAGCAGUGGGGAAUAUUGGACAAUGGGCGGAAGCCUGAUCCAGCCAUACCGAGUGGGUGAGGAAGGCCUUCGGGUGGUAAAGCCCUUUUGUUGGGAAAGAAAAGCAGCAGGUUAAUAACCCGCUGUUAUGACGGUACCCAAAGAAUAAGCAACGGCUAACUUAGUG
RNAcentral lists this ribosomal RNA (492 nucleotides) under uncultured bacterium. RNAcentral's name for it is "partial 16S ribosomal RNA". It matches the Rfam family "Bacterial small subunit ribosomal RNA", at positions 29 to 507 of the family's 1533-position model. The record is from RNAcentral.